RNAcentral lists this ribosomal RNA (19 nucleotides) under Trichoderma atroviride. Its description in RNAcentral is "partial 28S ribosomal RNA". The record is from RNAcentral. Lineage: Eukaryota; Fungi; Ascomycota; Sordariomycetes; Hypocreales; Hypocreaceae. RNAcentral also lists the same sequence under 5 other names.
UUGACCUCGGAUCAGUAGA